RNAcentral lists this small RNA (710 nucleotides) under Pan troglodytes (chimpanzee). Its description in RNAcentral is "processed transcript". Lineage: Eukaryota; Metazoa; Chordata; Mammalia; Primates; Hominidae. The record is from RNAcentral.
UGUGAGUUUCUGGUAAAUCGAAUGUGCCGUCUUGAAAGCCUCAUGCAGUCCUUGAAGAUGAACAUCUUUCGGCUGCAAACUGAAAAGGAUUUGAAUCCUCAGAAAACAGCUUUUCUGAAAGAUCGACUGAAUGCAAUACAGGAAGAGCAUUCUAAGGACCUGAAGCUGUUGCAUCUCGAAGUUAUGAAUUUGCGCCAGCGACUGAGAGCUAUAAAAGAGGAAGAAGACAAGGCACAGGAUGAGGUGCAAAGGUUGACUGCCACUCUGGAGAUUGCCUCACAAACAAAGAAGAAUGCAGCCAUUAUUGAAGAGGAACUGAAGACCACAAAACGUAAAAUGAACCUUAAAAUUCAAGAGCUUCUAGAGAUGACCUCAUUUCCAAGUUGGUUGAAGAAAAUAAGAACCUGCAGAUAUCUUUCAACAAGGAACAUGAAGAAAAUGCAUAUUUGAGGUCUGAAAUAAUGUCUCUUCAUGAAGCAUCAGAAAAAGCACAAGUUUUGAAUGACCAAUUGACUAAAAAGUGUUCAGAGUUGAGCUGCAUGCUUCAGACUGUUACUAUGGAAAAAGCCAGAAUCAUUGCUGACCAUCAGGCCAUUCUGCAGGUAGAGCAGAAAAUGAUGACGCAGACAUUUCAAGAACAAAACUUAUUGCUGGAUGCAGCCCAUGCCAGUAUCACAAAUGAACUACAGACUGUUCAGAAUGAGAAAACC